CAUCUCAGUACCCGCAGGAAGAGAAAACAACCGUGAUUCCGGGAGUAGUGGCGAGCGAAACCGGAUGAGGCCAAACCGUAUGUGUGUGAUACCCGGCAGGGGUUGCAUGUACGGGGUUGUGGGAUUGUUCUUUCAUGGUCUGCCGGCUGUGAGGUGAGUCAGAAACCGUUGGUGUAGGCGAAGGACAUGCGAAAGGUCCGGCGUAGAGGGUAAGACCCCCGUAGCUGAAACAUUGACGGCUCACUUGAAUUAUUCCCAAGUAGCACGGGGCCCGA
This 275-nucleotide ribosomal RNA is filed under the name Streptomyces evansiae. Its description in RNAcentral is "Streptomyces sp. DSM 41979 partial 23S ribosomal RNA". It matches the Rfam family "Bacterial large subunit ribosomal RNA", at positions 199 to 427 of the family's 2925-position model. Lineage: Bacteria; Bacillati; Actinomycetota; Actinomycetes; Kitasatosporales; Streptomycetaceae. The record is from RNAcentral.